UCUACUUCUCUCUCAUUUUUGUCGGUUCUCUCGACAUUCCUUCUUUCUUUCCUCUUCACAACGAAGUCAAAUUCUUUUCUUUUCUUCUUUCAGUCUAAAAAUUGAUGAAGAUCCAAAAAUCGAGUCGCAUAAGGUCUAAAAGAUGUUUGGAUUAGGUUAUUGAUCUGGAAUUGAUGGACCAUAAGGCUCCGUCAGAUCUCCACCAUGAGGAUUUUAUUUUUCUUGGAUCCGCUGAAUCUUCCCAUUUCAAUAAAUUCCUCUCAAGGUCCUGGAAAUCUUCACCUUGAGGCUCCGUCUGUCUCAUUGCAUGGCCAUCCAACCGAUUUCGGAAGAAAAGCUCAUUUCUUUACUAGUUUUGAAGUGUUGUUCAUCACUAUUGGCUUCUUCCAUGUGGGCUAUCCAAGCAUAUAUAUAUUCUGUUCAGAUACAUAUUUCAGUUCUAGGCAAGCAGUACAUGAUAUUUGCAAACUCUAGUAAUAAUGGAACCAGUGAGCAACCUCUUGGUAUUUUAUCUCAUCAAAUCCGUGGUUCCCUUGGACAGUUUUUUGAGAUGACACUUGUGGGCCACUCCUCAAACAGUUUUGCAUGACUUGCUGCAGCAUUAAACUGAGGCUUUGUAAUAUAACAAAGGAGGGGUAGGAUAAGAGCCUCUGAAGAAUUAUUAUUGUCUGUGGACACGGCAGCUCAGAGACUCUCCUCCUUACUCUCUCUCUCUCUCUCUCUCUGUUGGGUCUGCUUCUAAGCUUCUCUCUCAAGUUGACACUACCUUUACCUAUUUAUUCUUUACUCUUUGUAGUCUUCUGUUUAGCUCUCGUGGGUUUUCCAGGUAUGGAUCUUGCUUUUUAUUUAUGUGCUUCGCUGUCUUUUUCAAGAUAAGAGUUAUGAUUCGUGUUUUGUACAUUAGCCAAUGUGCUGGAGACUAUUUUGUGACUUUAGUAUUCCUUUGCAUAGGUUGGGACUUGCAUAUGAUUGCUAGAAGAUGUAGGCAGUCUAAGUAUCUCCCGGCUUGUAGUCAUCCAUGAAGAGAUGAUUCAUGAAGGAGAAGAAAGGAGAAGAUCAAGGCUGGAGUAAGGACAAAUGAACUCCAUAUAGUUUUUUAUUUGGUUUUUGAAAUUAUUUUUGUUUUUUUGUAUGAAGUUGUUGCGAGGAUGGUUUAGAAGCACAAUAACAAUAUGGAGUAUUGAAGGGAUUGACAAAUUUUCAUUAUCAAUAUAUUUUUUUCUAAUUUUGAAUUUUUUUUUUCUGGAAAUAUAUGAAGUCACCAUUGAACAUUGGUGAGAAACUUUAGUGGUAGGACCCACAACUUUGAAG
Long non-coding RNA from Rosa chinensis, 1311 nucleotides. RefSeq lists it as uncharacterized. Lineage: Eukaryota; Viridiplantae; Streptophyta; Magnoliopsida; Rosales; Rosaceae. The transcript has 4 exons. The record is from RefSeq and is a predicted model, not a curated record.